Molecule: ribosomal RNA, 400 nt
Filed under: phytoplankton environmental sample
Lineage: Eukaryota
Description: partial small subunit ribosomal RNA
Rfam family: Eukaryotic small subunit ribosomal RNA
Source: RNAcentral
AGCUCCAAUAGCGUAUAUUAAAGUUGUUGCGGUUAAAAAGCUCGUAGUUGGAUUUUGGGUUCACUUCCGGCGGGCCGGUGCAAGCCGCGAACUGCUAGAAUGGACCUUCUGUCUGGAAGGUGGUCGCUUCCUAUUCGCUUAGUGGCGGCCGCCGUCUAGGACUUUUACUUUGAACAAAUUGGAGUGUUUAAAGCAGGCAAACGUCUUGAACACAUUAGCAUGGAAUAACCGAAUAGGGCUUUGGCUCUAUUUUGUUGGUUUUAAGGGCCGAAGUAAUGAUUAAUAGGGACAGUUGGGGGCAUUCGUAUUUAAUUGUCAGAGGUGAAAUUCUUAGAUUUAUGAAAGACGAACUUCUGCGAAAGCAUUUGCCAAGGAUGUUUUCAUUAAUCAAGAACGAAAG